Molecule: ribosomal RNA, 492 nt
Filed under: uncultured bacterium
Lineage: Bacteria
Description: partial 16S ribosomal RNA
Rfam family: Bacterial small subunit ribosomal RNA
Source: RNAcentral
AGUGAACGCUGGCGGUAGGCCUAACACAUGCAAGUCGAACGGCAGCACAGUAAGAGCUUGCUCUUACGGGUGGCGAGUGGCGGACGGGUGAGGAAUACAUCGGAAUCUACUUUUUCGUGGGGGAUAACGUAGGGAAACUUACGCUAAUACCGCAUACGACCUACGGGUGAAAGCAGGGGAUCUUCGGACCUUGCGCGAUUGAAUGAGCCGAUGUCGGAUUAGCUAGUUGGCGGGGUAAAGGUCCACCAAGGCGACGAUCCGUAGCUGGUCUGAGAGGAUGAUCAGCCACACUGGAACUGAGACACGGUCCAGACUCCUACGGGAGGCAGCAGUGGGGAAUAUUGGACAAUGGGCGCAAGCCUGAUCCAGCCAUACCGCGUGGGUGAAGAAGGCCUUCGGGUUGUAAAGCCCUUUUGUUGGGAAAGAAAAGCAGCAGGUUAAUACCCCGCUGUUCUGACGGUACCAAAAGAAUAAGCACCGGCUAACUUCGUG